GAUGAACGCUGGCGGCGUGCCUAAUACAUGCAAGUCGAGCGAACAGACGAGGAGCUUGCUCCUCUGACGUUAGCGGCGGACGGGUGAGUAACACGUGGAUAACCUACCUAUAAGACUGGGAUAACUUCGGGAAACCGGAGCUAAUACCGGAUAAUAUAUUGAACCGCAUGGUUCAAUAGUGAAAGACGGUUUUGCUGUCACUUAUAGAUGGAUCCGCGCCGCAUUAGCUAGUUGGUAAGGUAACGGCUUACCAAGGCAACGAUGCGUAGCCGACCUGAGAGGGUGAUCGGCCACACUGGAACUGAGACACGGUCCAGACUCCUACGGGAGGCAGCAGUAGGGAAUCUUCCACAAUGGGCGAAAGCCUGACGGAGCAACGCCGCGUGAGUGAUGAAGGUCUUCGGAUCGUAAAACUCUGUUAUUAGGGAAGAACAAAUGUGUAAGUAACUAUGCACGUCUUGACGGUACCUAAGCAGAAAGCCACGGCUAACUACGU
This 496-nucleotide ribosomal RNA is filed under the name uncultured bacterium. Its description in RNAcentral is "partial 16S ribosomal RNA". It matches the Rfam family "Bacterial small subunit ribosomal RNA", at positions 28 to 506 of the family's 1533-position model. The record is from RNAcentral.